UAUUACUUUGUGUCUCUUAGUCAACCUGAUCUGGUCCAUGUUCGUGGGGAGGGCAUCAUGGGCAUGUCCACACCCUGUCCACACCCUGUCCACCCCAUGUCCACUCCCCCCGCACUCGCCCAUGCUGUCGCACAGACCAAAGCAGGCACUCCCGCACCCACUCCCUCAUAUCGGGUGCACCAUACAGGUACACCUCCCACUAAUGAUCCUUCCGCAGGUUCACCUACGGAAA
This 232-nucleotide unclassified non-coding RNA is filed under the name uncultured fungus. RNAcentral's name for it is "sequence contains ITS1". The record is from RNAcentral. Lineage: Eukaryota; Fungi.